Molecule: ribosomal RNA, 301 nt
Filed under: Culex tritaeniorhynchus
Lineage: Eukaryota; Metazoa; Arthropoda; Insecta; Diptera; Culicidae
Also listed under: 2 other names
Description: eukaryotic LSU rRNA
Rfam family: Eukaryotic large subunit ribosomal RNA
Source: RNAcentral
GGCCUCAAAUAAUGUGUGACUACCCCCUAAAUUUAAGCAUAUUAAUAAGGGGAGGAAAAGAAACUAACAAGGAUUCCCCGAGUAGCUGCGAGCGAAAAGGGAAGAGCUCAGCACGUAGGGGCGGCGCACUUGCGCGUCUGCCCGGUUCCGUGUACUGGAAAUUUUGUCAUCUGCCAUGCCCGGCGCAGUGUCCAAGUUCAACUAGAAUGUGGCUUUUACUCCCAUAGAGGGUGAUAGGCCCGUAGGACGGCGCUGAUGGUGGAAAAUUUUUCCAUGGAGUCGUGUUGCUUGAUAGUGCAGC